GCACUGCGGGUGCCCUCUGGCCCCCACCCCAUCAUCGCGCAACACACCCCCUUCAACAUGCGCGCCCACCCUUUCAUUGCCCAGCGCCCCGAGCGGUCCCACCGCCCGGCAAAACACUGAGCAAGCCGCUGCGCUCACCUUGCUUGACGCACUUGAGCCGGAGGGGGUCCUUGCAGUGUUUGAUCACGGCCAGCACGUCCCUGAUGGUGAGCCCCGCCACGGGGGUCUCGUUCACCUCCAGCAGCAGCUCCUCCGACACCAACUUGCUGCCGCUCUCAUAGGCCACCUUGCCGGGCUUCACCUCCCCCAGUAAUGUCUUACAAUAACAGAAUGCAGGAGAGCACAUAUCAAUGAAGAAAAGACAAAAUGUAUUUAUCCAUGAAGCUGAGGUUAAGAAACCAGUGUCUUCAAGAGCCGGGGACAGCACUGGGUCUGUGCAGAGUUGAGAGAUGGUGAUGACAUGUGGUUUCCAGCAUUCCUGGCCCAGUCCAGGGACACUGUGGGUGUGCCCAGCUUAAGUCCAGUAACUGGAAAUACAAGCCCAAGUUCUGGAGAGUUUGAGCUGCAGAGAUAUAUAUGGGGACACUUUGAACCUUGACUCAUUGGCCAUAACCAGCAGAGUGGAAAAUACAAG
This 634-nucleotide non-coding RNA is filed under the name Pongo abelii (Sumatran orangutan). The record is from RNAcentral. Lineage: Eukaryota; Metazoa; Chordata; Mammalia; Primates; Hominidae.